UGGUGUGGCUCAGUCGGUAGAGCAGCUGAUUCGUAAUCAGCAGGUCGGGGGUCCGAGUCCCCCCACC
Molecule: transfer RNA, 67 nt
Filed under: pig gut metagenome
Rfam family: tRNA
About the family: Transfer RNA (tRNA) molecules are approximately 80 nucleotides in length.
Source: RNAcentral